AUUGAACGCUGGCGGCAUGCCUUACACAUGCAAGUCGAACGGUAACGGGCCUUCGGGUGCCGACGAGUGGCGAACGGGUGAGUAAUACAUCGGAACGUGCCCGAUCGUGGGGGAUAACGAGGCGAAAGCUUUGCUAAUACCGCAUACGAUCUACGGAUGAAAGCAGGGGACCGCAAGGCCUUGCGCGGACGGAGCGGCCGAUGUCAGAUUAGGUAGUUGGUGGGAUAAAAGCUUACCAAGCCGACGAUCUGUAGCUGGUCUGAGAGGAUGAUCAGCCACACUGGGACUGAGACACGGCCCAGACUCCUACGGGAGGCAGCAGUGGGGAAUUUUGGACAAUGGGCGCAAGCCUGAUCCAGCCAUGCCGCGUGCAGGAUGAAGGCCUUCGGGUUGUAAACUGCUUUUGUACGGAACGAAAAGCCUUCUUUUAAUACAGGAGGGUCAUGACGGUACCGUAAGAAUAAGCACCGGCUAACUACGUG
Molecule: ribosomal RNA, 482 nt
Filed under: uncultured bacterium
Lineage: Bacteria
Description: partial 16S ribosomal RNA
Rfam family: Bacterial small subunit ribosomal RNA
Source: RNAcentral